This 374-nucleotide long non-coding RNA is filed under the name Lathyrus oleraceus (garden pea). Its description in RNAcentral is "Pisum sativum (pea) long non-coding RNA (PSAT_LNC017183)". Lineage: Eukaryota; Viridiplantae; Streptophyta; Magnoliopsida; Fabales; Fabaceae. The record is from RNAcentral.
UUCUUUUCUUGCUCAAGAAGUCGGGAAAUCUCGUCAGGAAUCCCUUCAACAUCAUCUUCGUCCGCUUCGAAUACAGGGAAUUCAAAAUUGGGAGAUGACGUCCGAUCAUUACGUUCAAUGGGUUUGAGAAACAACCUGCAUAAUGAUUUUGAUAUGAAAAGCUUUUUGAAAAUCGAACAAGACAAUCGUUAUGCAAAUGAAAAGAUUGCUUUUAUUCUUGUUUUUUAAGGGUUUUUUUUUUUGUGAUCACCAAUUUCAUGCAAAAAGCGAAAAGGGAAAACAAUUGGAAAAACAAAUGUUUUAACAUGAAUUUAUUUGAAUGAAAAUAUCAUUGCACAAAAGGUUGCCAACAAUGCCAUCACUUCUCCUUUUGG